UUUCCGUAGGUGAACCUGCGGAAGGAUCAUUACCGAGUGAGGGUCCCCUUUGCGGGCCCGACCUCCCACCCGUGUCUACCGUACCGUGUUGCUUCGGCGGGCCCGCCAGGGGGGCUCCUGUCCCUGGCCGCCGGGGGGCCAUCUCCCGUGCCUCCGGGCCCGUGCCCGCCGGAGACCCUCGUGAACGCUGUCUUGAACAAAGGUUGCGGUCUGAGUGGAAAACACAAUCGUCAAAACUUUCAACAACGGAUCUCUUGGUUCCG
Molecule: unclassified non-coding RNA, 263 nt
Filed under: soil metagenome
Description: partial contains small subunit ribosomal RNA, internal transcribed spacer 1, and 5.8S ribosomal RNA
Source: RNAcentral